GAGAAAUAAGCAUGGCGUGCAGUGCUUCAGCUUGCCAGUCAAAUUGCUACAAAACCCAGCAGGAAGAAGAAGAAGCUGUUAAAGACAACAGCAAUACCAAUUCAUUUGCUGCUAAUAAUAGCAGCAGCAACAACAACAGCAACAGUGGUUUGUGUCUGAAGUGCAAGGCCAACCAACCUAUCUCUUCCAGUAGCGACGGUGGUGACGAUGCACGAUUUUGCAUCGAUUGCUUCCGCGGCAAUCUCUUCGGGAAGUUCAGGUUAGCUGUGACCUCCAACGCCAUGAUUGCUCCUACUGAUAAUGUCCUCGUUGCCUUCUCUGGUGGCCCUUCUUCCAGGGUUGCCUUGCAGUUUGUACAUGAGAUGCAUAGUAAAGCGCAGAAGAAUUUCGAUGCAUGUAGGGAUAGAUCGUUGCCAGUUUUCGGUGUUGGAGUUGCAUUUGUUGAUGAAAGUUCUGUUUACUCUGUCCCCUAUAAUGAAACCGACAAAGUAAUUGGAGACGUUAGAUUGAUAGUGGAAAAUCUAGCCCCGCCAUCAAAGGAGUUGUAUAUUGUACCUAUUGAAAGUGUCUACUCUUCAGAUUCUGGUGAUGGAAGGGAGAGAUUAAAGAAGUUACUGGAUGCUGUUGGUGAUGCAACUGGGAGAGAAGAUCUUUUAUUACAUCUCCGCAUGUUGGCCUUGCAAUAGGUUGCCUCUCAAAAUGGAUACAACAGACUUCUACUGGGGUCAUGCGUAUCGAGGAUUGCCUGCCAUGUUAUUUCAGCCACUGUCAAGGGCCAAGGAUAUUCUUUACCAGCCGAUGUACAGUAUGUUGAUGCAAGGUGGGAGAUCCCAGUUGUGCUUCCCCUUCGUGAUUGUCUUGCCAAAGAGCUGACCAUGCUUUGCCGCCUUGAUGGGGCAGUCUAAAAACUGUGGAGUUGAUAAGAAGUCCUUGCACUGGCAUAAAUGGCUUGGUCUCAUCAUUCGUGACACUUUUGCAGGAAGAAAAUCCUUCUCGAGAGUGCACAAUUAUGAGAACAGCUGGAAAGCUUAUCCCAUUUCAUUUCAACAAAAUUGAAGAGAUUGAUGACUCUAAUGUUCUUUUGGCAACUCGAAGGCGUCAGAAGAGAUAUAACCUUAAACCUAAUGAAUCUUUUUCCUCCGAGUCGUUCUGCUUUAUUUGCAAUAGCCCACUCAGCAGAUCUGACUUGCUAAGUUUGAAGAACCUGGAGAGUCACAAAACAAGUUCUGUUUGCUGUUCAAGCUGCCAGUUCCAAAUACUUCCCCAAGACCCCUCAUCAGUAAAUGAGUUGUAUACUCUUUUACCUGAGCAACUGUUUGCCCGAGCAAAGCAUGAAAACCUUGACCAUUACAGUGCCCUCAGGGAACAAAUACAAGAUUGCUUGCUUUCAGAAGGUGAAGAUGAAACUUGAGUCGGCUCACCCAUGCUUGGGAUCUCAAUUAUUGAAGCUAGUAAUAGGCACUAUUUCAAUUUAGUCCUUCAGAUUCUUUCUAAAGGAUGGUGUUAGGAUUAUGGGCCGGUAGUGGACUUGCGAUGCCAACAGCUAAUCACUAAAACAGCAUGCAAUCAACUUCUGGUCUUUGGACGACUUCCUGCUGUCCUAAUUGUCUAACAUGGUUUCGAAAUAGCGAUCAUUGAUUCUGUCUUGAUGGUGGUAUUUAUGUUGUGUAUCAGAAGUUGCAAAGUUGAACUUGGUUCAGUGAAAUUCAACCUGGCUUGAAAAUUAUUAGAUUGUUUCUGCUUGAUGUGCAGAAAAUUCAAUACUCUGUUUUAUUCUGGCAUGAUAUGCAUGAGAAGAAAUUGUGAGUAAAUUGUGUUG
Molecule: non-coding RNA, 1819 nt
Organism: Prunus mume (Japanese apricot)
Lineage: Eukaryota; Viridiplantae; Streptophyta; Magnoliopsida; Rosales; Rosaceae
Source: RefSeq, a predicted model, not a curated record